CGUAGGUGGCAAGCGUUGUCCGGAUUUAUUGGGUUUAAAGGGUGCGUAGGCGGCCUUAUAAGUCAGUGCUGAAAUAUCCCGGCUUAACCGGGAGGGUGGCAUUGAUACUGUAGGGCUUGAGUGUAGUCGAGGUAGGCGGAAUUGACGGUGUAGCGGUGAAAUGCUUAGAUAUCGUCAAGAACACCGAUAGUGUAGACAGCUUACUAGGCUACAACUGACGCUGAGGCACGAAAGUGUGGGGAUCAAACAGGAUUAGAUACCCUGGUAGUCCACACUGUAAACGUUGAUUACUCGCUGUUGGCGAUACACAGUCAGCGGCUUAGCGCAAGCGAUAAGUAAUCCACCUGGGGAGUACGCCGGCAACGGUG
Molecule: ribosomal RNA, 368 nt
Filed under: uncultured organism
Description: bacterial SSU rRNA
Rfam family: Bacterial small subunit ribosomal RNA
Source: RNAcentral